RNAcentral lists this ribosomal RNA (253 nucleotides) under uncultured bacterium. Its description in RNAcentral is "partial 16S ribosomal RNA". It matches the Rfam family "Bacterial small subunit ribosomal RNA", at positions 524 to 776 of the family's 1533-position model. The record is from RNAcentral.
UACAGAGGUCUCAAGCGUUGUUCGGAUUCAUUGGGCGUAAAGGGUGCGUAGGUGGCGCUGUAAGUCAGGUGUGAAAUUUCGGAGCUUAACUCCGAAACUGCAUUUGAUACUGCGGUGCUCGAGGACUGGAGAGGAGACUGGAAUUUACGGUGUAGCAGUGAAAUGCGUAGAGAUCGUAAGGAAGACCAGUGGCGAAGGCGGCCCACUGGAUCGGUACUGACGCUGAGGUGCGAAAGCGUGGGGAGCAAACAGG